Molecule: ribosomal RNA, 253 nt
Filed under: uncultured Eubacteriales bacterium
Lineage: Bacteria; Bacillati; Bacillota; Clostridia; Eubacteriales
Description: uncultured Clostridiales bacterium partial 16S ribosomal RNA
Rfam family: Bacterial small subunit ribosomal RNA
Source: RNAcentral
UACGUAGGGGGCAAGCGUUAUCCGGAUUUACUGGGUGUAAAGGGAGCGUAGACGGCGAUGCAAGUCUGAAGUGAAAGGCGGGGGCCCAACCCCCGGACUGCUUUGGAAACUGUAUGGCUGGAGUGCAGGAGAGGUAAGCGGAAUUCCUAGUGUAGCGGUGAAAUGCAUAGAUAUUACACAGAACACCGAUUGCGAAGGCAGCUUGCUAGGCCGGAUCUGACACUGAUGCACGAAAGCGUGGGGAUCGAACAGG